UCAGAGAGGCCUGGUCCGGCGCCCCGAGGCCCGACCGCAGAGGAGCGCGUUCUUUGGGAUCGGGUUCUCGUCCCGCCAUGAGUUCGCCGGAGAGUAGACCCGGAGGUAGAAUUGUUGGCCGAGGUACUGUCUAGCCCAGCUCUCUGACCUGAUGUUCCACAUCCCCACAUUAUCCAAAGGCAUGUAAAUUGCAGUCCAUGAUUGAGGAUACACCUGAAAAAAGUAGAUCAUCAACUGCGUCUCUAAGGUUGUAGCUCUGGCGACUCGCAGGUGUCCAUUGUCCUCCAUCCAUCCCGACAACCCAGAAUGCGUAACCGUCAAUGUGCCAUGACUGCACAAAGUUUUCAGAGUUCUCAAAGAUGACUUCAACGUAGUCUCGCAUGUUGGCUGCCAUGACUGCUGUCUGCAGGUAGGCGCCACCUCCGGUUGGGUUGUCAGGCAUGCUCCCCAGAGCGAACACACCCUGAAUGUUGUAGAAGUCGGCAACCUUGAGAGGAGUGUCAGCUGGAAUGAAGGACACGCUGUUGACCGCGUAUCUCAGCUUGCCAUUUAUGCUAGCCCUUGAGUUCGCAAGUCUGAUGGUUCUUGUAGUGUUGACAAGGCCAUAAUGGUAUGAGCCCUGAGGGUUCGGCCUUGGUCCACUCGCCGUCAGAUUCCAUCUGUACCGACCUGAUUGAGAGACCAAUCAAUCUGGAUUGUUGGUGCUGGGGGUGGUGCUACCGUAGAAAGGGCACCGUUUGAAUUGCUGUAGUGGAGGACAGCAGUAGUGGUGAGCACAGGAUUGGUGAAACGGGUCGAGACAAUAAUGCUGUAGUCCUGGGGUGGCUGAUCAGCCGUCACGAGGAAUGAGUAGGACUGGCCUAGAUGGACAUCAAUCGAUGUGUAUGUGCUCUGCACGGUGUGUGAUCCCUCCACCUCAACCAGCAGCAAGGAAUGACCUUGAAUCCUUAUGUUCACUGAUGUUGCUAUGCCCACAUUCGAUACCCUAAAACGAUAAAUUUACCUUGGUCUACUGUAAACCUGUUGCCGUUCCAGCCUUGGCCAUUGAUAAGAAGCCCAUCAGGGGGUGGAAGGUCAUUACCACUUAUAUAAAAAAAUGUACUUACAGUGUGAUUGAGCUUGAACCAGUCACCGGCCAAUAUGGUGAAAUCGCCAGCAGGGGGUGCAAAUGGAACCGGGAUCCCCGGGCGGCUAAGGACCCUGAUACCACCAUACCCACCAGCAGCCUUAUGGAAUGCAAGGGAAGGAAAGUAGUAGUAGCUCCCAAUUUGGUCCUUGAACUGCAUGAUGUAAGUGAAAUUGCCACCCGGAGGGAUCGGGCAGUUUGUACCAUACACCCCGUCUUGCCAUGAGCUCCUCCUCUGUUGAAUUCCUUGCCUGCGAUAGGAGGAACGGGGAAGGCAGGUUGUUGAAGACAUUGAUGAUGAUGUUGUCGUUGGUGACCGCGUCGAUCUGAGGCCCCGGGAACUGGCCGUUGAUCAAUGUACUUACCUGCUGCUUGACGCCGAGAGGGUAGAUGUCGCCGAAGGUGAUGUUCCAGGUGUAGAACCUGUAAGGGUCGUCGCCUCUGACCGCGACGACGAGGAGGAGGAAGAAGAAGACGAGGAAGCGGGUAAUGGUGGCCUCCAUUCUCCUCGUCUCACACCUACCACCGCCACCGCC
This 1662-nucleotide small RNA is filed under the name Oryza sativa Japonica Group (Japanese rice). Its description in RNAcentral is "sRNA Os06g0678875". The record is from RNAcentral. Lineage: Eukaryota; Viridiplantae; Streptophyta; Magnoliopsida; Poales; Poaceae.